This 1350-nucleotide ribosomal RNA is filed under the name Triticum aestivum (bread wheat). RNAcentral describes it as "partial small subunit ribosomal RNA". The record is from RNAcentral. Lineage: Eukaryota; Viridiplantae; Streptophyta; Magnoliopsida; Poales; Poaceae.
AUGGGGAGAUCCGCGUCUGUAUUUCAAGCCCUUUUGGUUUUCCUAAUAACAAUAAUUGAGACCCAAUGGUCCAGCGUAUCCGGCAUGUACUGCGCGGACAUGGCAUCGACCGUCUACCGACCACAUAGUGUCACUAUAACUGAGUUUGGUGCUGUCGGGGAUGGCGUGACUCUCAACACCAAAGCAUUCCAGAAUGCCAUCUUCUACCUCAAUUCAUUUGCGGACAAGGGUGGCGCGCAGCUCUUUGUGCCUGCUGGAAGGUGGCUGACAGGCGGUUUUAGUCUGAUCAGCCAUCUCACUUUGUCGCUGGACAAAGAUGCAGUAAUAAUCGGAUCUCCGCACUCAUCUGAUUGGCCUGUUAUAGACCCUCUUCCAUCCUAUGGGCGCGGGAGAGAGCUCCCCGGAGGAAGGCACCAGAGCUUAAUUUUUGGCUCCCAUUUGACAGAUGUAAUAAUUACUGGUGCUAAUGGGACAAUUGAUGGUCAAGGAGCCAUUUGGUGGGAUUGGUUCCAUAACAACACACUGAACUAUACUAGGCCACAUCUUGUCGAGUUGAUGUACUCCACCAAUGUUGUUAUAUCAAAUUUGACUUUCAAGAACUCCCCGUUCUGGAAUAUCCAUCCUGUAUACUGCAGCCAAGUUAUUGUCGAGCACGUUACAAUCCUAGCACCUUUGAAUUCGCCAAACACCGACGGCAUUAAUCCAGAUUCGUCCACAAAUGUUUGCAUCAGUCAUUGUUAUGUCAGAAAUGGAGACGAUGUUAUUGUCAUCAAAAGUGGUUGGGAUGAGUACGGCAUUUCUUUUGCUCAGCCUAGCUCCAAUAUCAGCAUCAGCAACAUCACAGGAGAGACUGGGGGUGGUGCAGGAAUUGCCAUCGGAAGUGAGAUGUCAGGUGGCAUAUCUGAAGUCCGGGCUGAAGGCCUCCGCAUUGUGAACUCAUUGCAUGGAAUCAGAAUCAAGACCGCUCCAGGACGUGGAGGGUAUGUAAGGAACGUCUACAUAGCUAAUGUCAGCAUGCACAAUGUUUCGAUGGCCAUAAGGAUCAAUGGAAACUACGGCGAACAUCCUGAUAACAAUUAUGACAGGAAUGCUCUCCCCAUUAUAAGCAACAUCACAAUUCAGAACGUUGUUGGCGUUGAUGUUGGUGUUGCUGGCAUCUUGGAGGGCAUUGAGGGCGACAACUUCAGCAGCAUAUGCAUCUCCAAUGUCUCCCUCAGCGUACAAUCCAGGCAUCCGUGGAAUUGUUCGCUUAUUCAAGGAUAUUCAAACUCUGUGACUCCAGAGUCGUGCGAGCAACUCAGAACUGAUUGUGAGAGACAUCGAUCUGCUAUGACGGUGGCAGUUCUUUAG